CAAUAGCGUAUAUUUAAGUUGUUGCAGUUAAAAAGCUCGUAGUCGGAUUUUGGCUGAGAACGAACGGUCCGCCGUUAGGUGUGCACUGUUUGGUCUCAGCUUCCUGGUGAGGAGGUGUGCUUCACGGCCACUUAGUCACCGUGGUUACUUUGAAAAAAUUAGAGUGUUCAAAGCGGGCUUACGCUUGAAUAUAUUAGCAUGGAAUAACACCAUAGGACUCCUGUCCUAUUUCGUUGGUCUCGGGACGGGAGUAAUGAUUAAGAGGAACAGUUGGGGGCAUUCGUAUUUCAUUGUCAGAGGGGAAAUUCUUGGAUUUAUGAAAGACGAACUUCUGCGAAAGCAUUUGCCAAGGAUGUUUUCAUUGA
This 365-nucleotide ribosomal RNA is filed under the name uncultured eukaryote. RNAcentral's name for it is "partial 18S ribosomal RNA". It matches the Rfam family "Eukaryotic small subunit ribosomal RNA", at positions 592 to 976 of the family's 1831-position model. The record is from RNAcentral.